This 29-nucleotide small RNA is filed under the name Arabidopsis thaliana (thale cress). Its description in RNAcentral is "ATSL177670". Lineage: Eukaryota; Viridiplantae; Streptophyta; Magnoliopsida; Brassicales; Brassicaceae. The record is from RNAcentral.
UUUUUUGUCAAAAAAGAAGAAGAAAAAAG